UUUCCGUAGGUGAACCUGCGGAAGGAUCAUUACCUAGAGUUUGUAGACUUCGGUCUGCUACCUCUUACCCAUGUCUUUUGAGUACCUUCGUUUCCUCGGCGGGUCCGCCCGCCGAUUGGACAACAUUCAAACCCUUUGCAGUUGCAAUCAGCGUCUGAAAAAACAUAAUAGUUACAACUUUCAACAACGGAUCUCUUGGUUCUG
RNAcentral lists this unclassified non-coding RNA (204 nucleotides) under root metagenome. RNAcentral describes it as "partial contains small subunit ribosomal RNA, internal transcribed spacer 1, and 5.8S ribosomal RNA". The record is from RNAcentral. RNAcentral also lists the same sequence under 1 other name.